This 1036-nucleotide long non-coding RNA is filed under the name Homo sapiens (human). RNAcentral's name for it is "HSALNT0351874". Lineage: Eukaryota; Metazoa; Chordata; Mammalia; Primates; Hominidae. The record is from RNAcentral.
AAAGUUCCAAGUAUAUUCCUGUCUUAGAGCUUUUGCAGGUUUUUUUUGAAGCCUCUUAGGCAUUCCCUUGGAAAGUUGGCUAUCUGAAUCAUUGAGAUGAACUGAAAAUUAGAUCUUAGCAAAUAAUUCUGCCAACAGUGGAACUCUAAGGCUCUGGUAUCAGCUUAAGGCAGCCCAGCCUUACUUCAGAGUCCCCAUCGAACAGAUCGUUCACCUUGUUGGAUGAAUUGCUUCUCUCUCAGGAUUAAUUAAGAAAAUGUUAAUACUUUUCUUCCUCUUCUUGCUUCCUUGACCCCUAAACACAGUGUUAACAGCUUCUCUACCUGUACAUCAACAAUAUAUCAGUGUAUACACCUUCUGAAUCCUUCUAUAUCUUUCUCCAUGCUUGUCCAAAGAACACAUGCACAGUAGUUUUGGGGUCAUUGUUUUUUUUACAGACUUCUCUGAGACAUACCUUUUUCACUUUUACUAUGGGGCAAGCAAAUAGUUUUAGCUAAAAUGACAAUAUAACAGAAAACCUGUAGUUCCACAGGAUGAAUAAAGACAGACUUAGAAAUUAUAUUGAUAUUUUACAAAGAAUCACUUAUUCCUAGGAUUGUUCCCCAAGACAUCUGAAAUCUUAAUUUGCAUAUCUAUGUGGCAAAGCUUUAAAUUUAAGUUAUCCAGUAGUUUAACAUAAAAUCAUACUGAAACACUCAUUAACACAUUUGAGUAUACUAUGUAAUAGAACUGUUAUUUCUUUACUAACGAGGUCAUAUAGCAUUUUCUGUAAUUUUCAUUCUUGUCUCUUAGAAAGUACAUGAAUUGCCUGUAUAUGGUUCAUAUUUCUGAGCCACAGAAAAAUGUUUUUCUGGAAUUUUGUUUUGAUUGUCAAGUAGCAGAUAGAUCUAAGUAUAAAGAUUCUUGAAAGGGCAAAAAAAAAAUCUUUGUGGAUUCAAAUCCUCAAAUCCAACUACAAUUAAAUAAUAAGGCCUUAUCAGAAGUUAUGAAGCAUAAUAAAGUGCUUUGUCUUUCCACUUGAUUCCUUACUGACUCC